This is a non-coding RNA of Paramuricea clavata, 768 nucleotides long. Lineage: Eukaryota; Metazoa; Cnidaria; Anthozoa; Malacalcyonacea; Plexauridae. The record is from the annotation of a GenBank genome assembly.
GUCUUUAUAAUUAUACCAUAUAAUUAUUUUCUUAAUGAAAGUUUCACAUUUUCGAAUUAACUACUUAUAUAACAAUUUAAAAGUACAAAAAUUAAUUCACGAUUGAGAAAAUUUUAAAAUUCUUUAAAGCUAUAAUAAUCCUGUUGCUGUCUCAAAUAUUUCUUCAUCUUAAAGGUCAACACAAGUUCAAUUGUUAUCAUAAAUAUUAGAUCUACAGCCAGGUAUUUAAAACUGGAGUAUCUUUGUAGGAAAUUUUCUUACAUCUUUUCAUCUCAUAUAUUGAAAGCCAACCACAUAACUUGAUUUUUGUUUAAAUAUUCCAGACCCCUUUUGCAAAGUCGAAAUUUUCAUGUGUCGAAAAUGAAACUUACAACCAUGUAUUCGUCUCAUUUCUUAAAUCGUCUCCAAAGUUCAAAAAUACAAGGUAUACAAAACUACAUUAUUUUUGUCAUACUGUAAAAAAUAAUCUAUUAAAACAAUAUUUAAAAAGCAAUAAAGUUAGAAAGACAGUCAGCUGGUUACUUAGUAAUGGCUGAUUUCUAGCUUCAUUUUCAACAUAAUAUAAAUUUUGUAGUUGUAUUUCCAGAUCAAUGAUGAGAGCUCAAUCACAGAACAUGACUGUUUCCCUGACUUCCAGUCAAUACAGGCUGCUUUAAGAGUUUUUCGAAGACUAUUAAUAGUUUAAAUCUUUCUAAAUUUUUUAUGAGUACUAAAAAAAACACUAAAUGCUGUGCUUUUAUUCAUUUAAUAGACAACUUGCAAGUUAGA